Molecule: ribosomal RNA, 440 nt
Filed under: uncultured bacterium
Lineage: Bacteria
Description: partial 16S ribosomal RNA
Rfam family: Bacterial small subunit ribosomal RNA
Source: RNAcentral
CCUACGGGAGGCAGCAGUAGGGAAUAUUGCUCAAUGGGGGAAACCCUGAAGCAGCAACGCCGCGUGGAGGAUGAAGGUUUUCGGAUUGUAAACUCCUUUUGUUAGAGAAGAUAAUGACGGUAUCUAACGAAUAAGCACCGGCUAACUCCGUGCCAGCAGCCGCGGUAAUACGGAGGGUGCAAGCGUUACUCGGAAUCACUGGGCGUAAAGAGCGCGUAGGCGGGAUAGCAAGUCAGAUGUGAAAUCCUAGGGCUUAACCAUAGAACUGCAUUUGAAACUGUUAUUCUAGAGUAUGGGAGAGGUAAGUGGAAUUCUUGGUGUAGGGGUAAAAUCCGUAGAGAUCAAGAGGAAUACUCAUUGCGAAGGCGACCUGCUAGAACAUAACUGACGCUGAUGCGCGAAAGCGUGGGGAGCAAACAGGAUUAGAUACCCGGGUAGUC